GAUGAAGAACGUAGCGAAAUGCGAUAAGUAAUGUGAAUUGCAGAAUUCAGUGAACCAUCGAAUCUUUGAACGCACAUUGCGCCCGGCAGUAAUCUGCCGGGCAUGCCUGUCCGAGCGUCAUUUCUGCCCUCGAGCGAGUCCAGCAUCUAGGUGCUGGGCCCGCCCGGCGUUGGGGCACUACGGGAAGCCCUGUGCUGUCCCCCGUAGGCCCCGAAAUGAAGUGGCGGUCCUGCCGCGGCGCCCCCUGCGUAGUAUAACAGCCCGCUUCGGGACCCGGUGGAGGCCUGCCGUCAAACCUUACUCUCUAAGUUUGACCUCGGAUCAGGUAGGGUUACCCGCUGAACUUAAGCAUAUCAAUAAGCGGAGGA
This 368-nucleotide unclassified non-coding RNA is filed under the name soil metagenome. RNAcentral's name for it is "partial contains 5.8S ribosomal RNA, internal transcribed spacer 2, and large subunit ribosomal RNA". The stretch from base 1 to 120 matches the Rfam family "5.8S ribosomal RNA", at positions 35 to 154 of the family's 154-position model. The record is from RNAcentral.